RNAcentral lists this long non-coding RNA (5357 nucleotides) under Cottoperca gobio. RNAcentral describes it as "lncRNA (ENSCGOG00000024357.1)". The record is from RNAcentral. Lineage: Eukaryota; Metazoa; Chordata; Actinopteri; Perciformes; Bovichtidae.
CCACCAAUCAGAGCUCACGCUUAACGUCACAUAAAUAGUCCGGUCGGCUCCUCUCUUCCUCACUGAUCUUUGAAACUACCAGAAAACCUUUUCAAGAGGAACUCCGCACACCGAAAACUGUAAAUGUAUCCUCCACUUUUCCCAGGUCGGGUCGUUUAAGGAUGACUACCAUGUGAUUUCUUUCAGUUGAGGAUCUUACUCGUCAGGAAUUACUUUUUAUAUGAUGAAAAGACCGUUGCAUCGGUUUUGAAGAAGCUUUGGAAGUGCUGAAAAAUGAAAGUGAAAUGCGCAGAUACGACCUCAGCGAACUGAAGUAAUCACUUGAAAGAUUGCUAUACAUGCAAUGCGAUCUGGAUGUCCACACAGCUAAGGCGGGGCUAUUCUGCGUUCCAACACGGGAGUUCCGUUGGCACUCUUCCAUCGCCUCAUGACAUCACCGCAUGACAUCAAUGUUGAACCUAAACCAGUGGUUCACUCUGAGAAUGGACAACAAAAUAACAUGGUAGUCACUCAAUAUCCUGGAGUGGCUUACGGCCCAGCUCAGUUGCAGCAAGGCAAUGCACAAUCACGGCAACAUUUCCAGGGACUCCACCACCAACAGAACUUGCAGUCAAGCAUAGUUGACACUAUACCUGGGGAUAGUGCAUGUACUUCACAGAAGAGAUUCAACAAAAUAAGCAGAGAAGGAAAUGUUAAUUCAUCAGCAUGCGUCUCUGCACAGCACGGCAAUAAUAAUGGGACAUCGUCUAAUAAGAACUCUGUAAAACAUGUUGACUGUUCCAAUGUUCUUGGACCUUUCCUGAAAGGGUCAAAUUUGAGCAAUAAUACUGGAUUGCAACGAAGACAUUCGAAUAGUGCCUUAUCAGCUGCUACAAAUACUGCAGCACAGACAUUUCCUUUACAGUACCAGUAUUCUCCUUUGACUGCAGGCAAGUGGCAGACAUCUUCCCCACAGCUGUCUGCCUUAGUGAAAGAAAAUCCGUCAGAUUCCCAAACCUUUACUACCCCAUCUUCGUCACGUCAUGAAAGACACCGCAAAGGUUCACUCGCUUCUCUAAGCUGUGUACAGACUAAAACACGAAACGUGGAUCAUUUGGGAGGAACUUCCUCCCAUCAGCGGCAGGUCUCAUCUCCCUCUGGAGAAACUGAACUACCUACAGAUGAGGACAUUCAUGCCUUUAUUGCAAAAAGCCUCAAAUAUUUUUGGACUAUUACAAAUGAUGUGCAUUCCAAUAACGGGGACAGGGACUCCACGCUGCAGUCUGACUCCAUGCAGAAGGUUGACAGUUUUGCCCAUCGCCCAACAACAUCUGCCUCUUACAAAGAAGAUGCGGAGAGGCAAAGUCUCAACUAUGCGAUGAUUGAAGAGUUCCCUACUGUAGUCGGACCAGCAGUAGAGGGUGGUUCAAAGGCUAGUGAGUGUGCUGCAUCAGAGAAACAUUCAACAGAGUAUCCACAAAUUAUGACUAAAGUUUCUGCCACUUGCACAAAGAAUGAAGAUGGGAGGCCAGUGGUCGCCAAAGCAGUGCCUGGAUUGACCUGGGAUGAAGUGACUGAGAAGCAACUCAGUUCAAUGUUCAACGGCAGUUUGUCGGAGGAUACAUACAAGUCUCUUAGGUUAAAUAUUCACAACAAUUUGGAUGACGAAGGCCAAGUGCCUGGUGUUUCUUGGGCUCUCAAACACGUGAUUGAGAAAGGAGAUGCAGCCCUAAAACCAGUGGAGGCAGUAGGGUCAGACAGUGUGCAAGAUAUGACUGAUGUCUCAGAGGAUCUUCAAACUAGGUCAAGUUCAGUGGUUUCCCAAAACAUAACAUUGGAACCCACAUCACUCAUGGAAAAUCAAGAUGCAAAGAAAAACAUUGACGAUCAACAACAUUACACCAAUAUUUAUUCAUCAGUUGAUGAAAUUCAGAUUCAUAAUGUUGUAUCAAUUCCUACAAACUACAGUGAUGGGUUGAGCAACCUAAGAAGUUCCGAAGGUGCGAGGAAGAAUGCAUGUUCUGUGCUCUCUCAAACUGAUUUAAGUCUAGCCCUCUCUGAAAACGAAGUCAAAAGUCAUGCCCCUCUAUCUGAAGUACCCUUUGUAAAACAAUACGAAGACAUUACAGAUGAUGAAUCCCAACUCUCAAACACAGAGCAUGAGGAAUUGAGCUUUCUAGCAGGUUUAGAAGACUCUCAGCAUGACGAAGAAAGUCCACCAGAGUGUAUGGCUGUGGCUUCAUCUACACAAGUACGUGAACCCACUGAUGAGCAGUCACCUUUUGAAAAUGAAGGCGCUGGACAUGUGACUAAAUGGGACAGUGAGAGACCAUCAAACUCUGUCUCAUGUAGUCCUUUCUCUUGUUGUGACGAUGAUGAUGACGAAGACUAUAUGUUAUGCAUACCUUUAACCAUUUCAGACCUUACAUUUGAAUCUGAAGAUGAAGACCAGGAUAGGCAUGAAAAAAAUGUGCUCGAUGGUGGGGAAACAGGUGACCCUGUAACACUGUGUUACUCAAGUCCGACCCACUGUCAAUCUCUAAAACAAGUACUUGCUUCUGUUUCUUCACCGUUGAAGGUGUUUGACACACCUGCAAGUUUUUGUGAAGCUAUGCGACCUAAGAAAAUAUGUGAGGCAUCAGGCUGGAGCUCACAUAAACAUGAAAUGGACUCUGAGGGAGAAAGACCUGCACCUCAGAACAAGAGAGAGUCUGUAGAGAGCUGUGACACUGAAGACAGUUGUGAUUACUCAUCUGCAACCGAAAACAAUUAUUUGACAGUGUCACGGAAGUUGUUGAAGAAGAGGGCAGCACCUAAGCUCUCAGAUGAUUCUGGGUCUGAAAGUGAAGGCUAUGAGGGUACAUAUGUGCAACAAGGUCAAACCAGCACCGUGGACAUGUCCGGCUGUAUGCAAAGACAUAGUCCACAGAUUGAAGCCAAAGAUUGCUGCUCUAAGGAUGUUCAACCCAAGACCAAUGGCCUAAAUAUUCCUAAAAAUGAAGAUAUAAUUAUUAUUUCUGACUCAGAUGAUGAAAGUGACCAAAGCGAGGAUGAAAGUGACCAAAGCGAGGAUGAAAGUGGCAAAAAACAAACAAAAAGGAAGCGAUUGUUCUCUUCCAGUUCAGAGGACAGUGUCUCCCCAUCUAGUCAACAGAGACAUUGGCCCAAAACUGUGGACAGUCUGUGUGGAACUGUUGAAGAAAAGUUUAAAAUCAACAGACUGCCAUCUGCAGAAUCACCAGCAACAAAGCGGCAAUCUAAAUGUUUUGAUACACCGGUUGAAGAAGAGAUGUUGGAUGCAUACUCUAACCUAUCGCGCAGUACAGGAAAGAGUGGGGAGCUGUUUAAAACCAAAGCUGCCUCUGCGCAUAUUCAACACAAGACCAACAGCAUUAUAGUCAUUGACCCUGACACGGAGAAUGACGAUAACGACGAUGAAAAGCCAAGCAGGAAGAGAUUUUUGUCUUCAGGGUCAGACAGUGAUCAGAAGAGACGGUCACAUAAAACUGUGGACAGUGAUUAUGAAAUUGCGAAAGAAAAGCAUCAAGAAACCAGACCGUCUUCGGCAGACACAUCAAAUUCCCGGCACCAGUCUAAACUCCAUAAUACCCAACACAAGACCACCAGACCAACAACCACAAAAAGAAGAGUAGUUUUCCAUGAUUCUGACAAAGAGGUUAAAAAAAGCCAUUUCCGCAAAAAGAAGGCAAGUACAAAAAGAAUACACUCAUCAGGAUCAGAAGACUGUGGCAAUGAAUUAUUUGCUACAAAAAACAGACGUUUAACUGAAACUGACGACCGUCUUUGUCGAGAUGCUAACGAAAAGGCUAAAAAAAGCAGACUGUCAUUUGAAGAUUCACCAGAGAAGCAGUCCCAGUCUGUGGACAAGAAGGCCGACUCAACUUUAGGUUCUAAUCCUGUGAUUCCUCGCCUUGCUUUUGUGAAGCCUUCUCAACCCAAUAAAGACUUAUUAACACUUUUUAAAGAACCUAGAGAUGGAACUCUGUCCCCGAAGGCCUCCACAGCAUCCAGCAAAAAGACUUACUCCCUUGAAAAAGAAUUUAAAUUGCUCAAACCAAAACCUGCAAAUGAUGGACAACAUGCAAUAAAGAAUAAUGUUCAGGCCAAUGUACAAAAACAGUAUAGAAGACAGCUUUCCUUACCUAUGCAGGAAGGCUCAUCCACCUCCUUCAUGUCUUCAAUUGGAAAACUUUCUGAAGCCAGACAAAGCUCCUCCUCAAGAGAUUUGUCUGGAGAAAACACCACCUCCUCUCGUCUCCCUGCAUCCAAGCAGAGCACAUCUAUUCCCAGACAUUCGUCUUCAUCCAAACUACAGCGCUCUCUCUCUUACACAAACCCCUCAACACCAAAUAGUUCUUGCACUCCCACAAAAAGCCCAUCGCCAAUGCAAUCAUCAGCAAGUAAACAAGUGGCCAAAGUCUGGAAGAAUGGCUAUUUUCCAACCAGGAAAGAUAAAAAAUCGGAAGAGAACUUAAGAACCAGGAAUGACCACCAUGACGGGGCACGCAUACUGAGCAACAACUCUCACAAGUCUGCAACCCCCAUGAUGAAGAAGGCCAAGUGUGAUGCCAUACAGUUGACAAAGGCCAGAAGUCGUGACGUCCCAAGGAAACGAAGAUACUAUGGAGGUGAAGGUUACAAGUGGUCAGAAAAAUAAACCAUGGCAAAGACAACAAAAGGUUCCAGCAGGAAGGGGAAAAAGUGUAGCACCCAUUCAAGACUCCAUCAAUAAGAAAAGGGGGGCAGUGUCUACCAAUCCAAAUCAAGUUUGUCACUCCCAAAGGGACAGGUGGGUGAUUGGUGACACAGCAGUUAUCGCUUCGAUCUUUAGAUUUUUCUAUAUUUUAACUGUCCAUGCACACAUGUUUUUGAAUGUUUUGAAAGUAUUAUCUUUUAUCAGUGUAGUGUAUUCUACUUACUACUUUAACACAAAUUAUGUCUGCAACCCUAAUGCAUAUACCUAUCCACCUGGUGUGUUAAGUACAGCCUACUAUUAAAAAGCACAGACAAUGUAAGCACUAUAAUCAGUAUGUGUUCGGAACUUGUGUGUAUCUUAACUGCAGGAAUUCCUAAAAGCACAUGGUCUAUUAAGUUGUCAAACAUAAGUUUCCUGUUGCGCAGCUAACAAACAUAUCCCACUGGAUAAGAAGGAAUUAAGACUCACAAAAAAGGAAGGGGUUCUGCAGACCGCUGAUGUUCACUGCUUUGUAAAUAAAGUAAACUUCAUGAAGCCAAGGGAUUCGGACUGAGUCAUUCUACAUGGAAAAGGACAUAGAUUAUCUUUGUAUGUAGAAGGACAACGGUUCCUCUGACAGACGAACGAAGUGCGCGCUUAAAAAUCUGUAAAAUUUGACUCC